This 208-nucleotide microRNA precursor is filed under the name Oryza glumipatula. RNAcentral's name for it is "MIR812 microRNA precursor family". It matches the Rfam family "MIR812 microRNA precursor family". Lineage: Eukaryota; Viridiplantae; Streptophyta; Magnoliopsida; Poales; Poaceae. The record is from Rfam by way of RNAcentral.
AAUACUUGUCGCUUUGAGAUUUUGUUUGCAACGUUUGAUCAUUCGUCUUAUUCAAAAAAAAUAUAAAAUUAUUAUUUAUUUUGUUUGUGACUUGCUUUAUUAUCAAAGUAUUUUAAGUAUGACUUAUCAUUUUUUCAUAUUUGCACUAAUUUUUCAAAUAAGACGAAUGGUCAAGCGUUGCAAGCAAAAAGUCAAAGCGACCACUAAU